RNAcentral lists this ribosomal RNA (451 nucleotides) under uncultured Novosphingobium sp. Its description in RNAcentral is "bacterial SSU rRNA". It matches the Rfam family "Bacterial small subunit ribosomal RNA", at positions 9 to 507 of the family's 1533-position model. Lineage: Bacteria; Pseudomonadati; Pseudomonadota; Alphaproteobacteria; Sphingomonadales; Sphingomonadaceae. The record is from RNAcentral.
GAGUUUGAUCCUGGCUCAGAACGAACGCUGGCGGCAUGCCUAACACAUGCAAGUCGAACGAGACCUUCGGGUCUAGUGGCGCACGGGUGCGUAACGCGUGGGAAUCUGCCCUUUGCUUCGGAAUAACAGUUAGAAAUGACUGCUAAUACCGGAUGAUGUCGUAAGACCAAAGAUUUAUCGGCAAAGGAUGAGCCCGCGUAGGAUUAGGUAGUUGGUGGGGUAAAGGCCUACCAAGCCGACGAUCCUUAGCUGGUCUGAGAGGAUGAUCAGCCACACUGGGACUGAGACACGGCCCAGACUCUACGGGAGGCAGCAGUGGGAAUAGUUGGACAAUGGGCGAAAGCCUGAUCCAGCAAUGCCGCGUGAGUGAUGAAGGCCUUAGGGUUGUAAAGCUCUUUUACCAGGGAUGAUAAUGACAGUACCUGGAGAAUAAGCUCCGGCUAACUCCGUG